GGGAAUUUCAAAAUGACGCGGGCUGGACCUCUCGGGGUUACAGCCUUGCUGAAUUAUUCACCCUUGUCUUUUGCGUACUUCUUGUUUCCUUGGUGGGUUCGCCCACCACUAGGACAAACAUAAACCUUUUGUAAUUGCAAUCAGCGUCAGUAACAAAUUAAUAAUUACAACUUUCAACAACGGAUCUCUUGGUUCUGGCAUCGAUGAAGAACGCAGCGAAAUGCGAUAAGUAGUGUGAAUUGCAGAAUUCAGUGAAUCAUCGAAUCUUUGAACGCACAUUGCGCCCUUUGGUAUUCCAAAGGGCAUGCCUGUUCGAGCGUCAUUUGUACCCUCAAGCUUUGCUUGGUGUUGGGCGUCUUGUCUCUAGCUUUGCUGGAGACUCGCCUUAAAGUAAUUGGCAGCCGGCCUACUGGUUUCGGAGCGCAGCACAAGUCGCACUCUCUAUCAGCAAAGGUCUAGCAUCCAUUAAGCCUUUUUUUCAACUUUUGACCUCGGAUCAGGUAGGGAUACCCGCUGAACUUAAGCAUAUCAAUAAGGCGGAGGAA
This 545-nucleotide ribosomal RNA is filed under the name Alternaria tenuissima. RNAcentral describes it as "eukaryotic LSU rRNA". The stretch from base 169 to 322 matches the Rfam family "5.8S ribosomal RNA". Lineage: Eukaryota; Fungi; Ascomycota; Dothideomycetes; Pleosporales; Pleosporaceae. The record is from RNAcentral.